RNAcentral lists this ribosomal RNA (865 nucleotides) under uncultured bacterium. Its description in RNAcentral is "bacterial SSU rRNA". It matches the Rfam family "Bacterial small subunit ribosomal RNA", at positions 28 to 896 of the family's 1533-position model. The record is from RNAcentral.
GAUGAACGCUGGCGGUGUGUUUUAGGCAUGCAAGUCGAGCGACGCAACCUUCGGGUUGACGGAGCGGCAGACGGGUGAGUAACGCGUAGGAAUCUGCCCAUUGGUGGGGAAUAGCCCUCCGAAAGGAGGUGUAAUUCCGCAUAAGCCCGAAAGGGGAAAGGACGUAACUGUCCGCCGAUGGAGGAGCCUGCGUGCUAUCAGCUAGUUGGUGGGGUAAAAGCCUACCAAGGCGAUGACGGCUAGGGGGCGUGAGAGCGUGGCCCCCCACAAGGUCACUGAGACACGGGGCCUACACCUACGGGUGGCAGCAACCGAGAAUAUUGCGCAAUGGGGGAAACCCUGACGCAGCGACACCGCGUGUGGGAAGAAGGCCUUCGGGUUGUAAACCACUGUGGCAGGGGAAGAAUUUUGACGGUACCCUGCUAGAAAGCACCUGCUAACUACGUGCCAGAAGCCUCGGUAAUACGUAGGGUGCAAGCGUUAUCCGGAAUUACUGGGCGUAAAGCGUUCGUAGGUGGAUUUGUAAGUGGUGGGUUAAAGCCUCCGGCUCAACUGGAGACAAGCUCGUCAUACUGCAGAUCUAGAGUCAGUUCGGGGAAGUUGGAAUUCUCGGUGGAGGGGUGAAAUCCGUUGAUAUCGAGAGGAACGCCAAGGGUGAAGACAGGCUUCUAGGACUGUACUGACACUAAGGGACGAAAGCUAGGGUAGCAAAAGGGAUUAGAGACCCCUGUAGUCCUAGCCGUAAACUAUGGAUACUAGCUGGCCGAUUCGCUAAGAGUAAAACUUAAGGUUUUGCUUUUAGCGAGUUGGCUGGCGUAAGCUAACGCGUUAAGUAUCCCGCCUGGGGAGUACGGCCGCAAGGUUA